UACCUGCAGCUCUAGUGGUGAUCGCUAUUAUUGGGCCUAAAACGUCCGUAGCCGGCUUAUUAAAUGCCUGGGUAAAUCGUGUAGCUUAACUAUACGAAUUCCGGGUAGACUGAUAGGCUUGAGACCGGGAGAAGCUAGAGGUACUCCUGGGGUAGAGGUGAAAUUCUGUAAUCCUAGGGGGACCACAAGUGGCGAAGGCGUCUAGCUAGAACGGGUCUGACGGUGAGGGACGAAGCCCUGGGGCGCAAACCGGAUUAGAUACCCGGGUAGUCCAGGGUGUAAACGCUGCUUGCUUGAUGUUAGUUGGGCUCUGAGCCCAAUUAGUGUCGGAGAGAAGUUGUUAAGCAAGCUGCCUGGGAAGUACGGUCGCAAGACUGAAACUUAAAGGAAUUGGCGGGGAGCACAGCAACGGGUGGAGCGUGCGGUUU
RNAcentral lists this ribosomal RNA (428 nucleotides) under uncultured archaeon. Its description in RNAcentral is "bacterial SSU rRNA". It matches the Rfam family "Archaeal small subunit ribosomal RNA", at positions 474 to 903 of the family's 1478-position model. The record is from RNAcentral.